Molecule: long non-coding RNA, 2132 nt
Organism: Cottoperca gobio
Lineage: Eukaryota; Metazoa; Chordata; Actinopteri; Perciformes; Bovichtidae
Source: Ensembl
AAAAAUAGGGAUUUAUUCUCUGACAUACGAACAGAUUUGAGAGAAAACACAUUUUCAAAAACAUGAAACAAAAACAGCGAUACGGCCCUUUAACAGUUCUGUUAUUUUCUUAUUAUUGUUUCUUUUGUUUCCUUAAAAAUGUUUGUUCCCACAACAAAAAGCUUUUCCUCUCUGUCUCUAAUUAUCAGAUAUAUUUCUGUGUGCUGAUGUCCUCCGUCUGUCUGUCUGUCCUCCGUCUGUCCUCCGUCUGUCCUCUGUCUGUCCUCUGUCUGUCCUCUGUCUGUCCUCCGUCUGUCCUCCGUCUGUCUGUCUGUCCUCCGUCUGUCUGUCUGUCCUCCGUCUGUCCUCCGUCUGUCCUCUGUCUGUCCUCUGUCUGUCCUCUGUCUGUCCUCCGUCUGUCCUCGUCUGUCUGUCUGUCCUCCGUCUGUCCUCUGUCUGUCCUCCGUCUGUCCUCCGUCUGUCCUCUGUCUGUCCUCUGUCUGUCCUCCGUCUGUCCUCUGUCUGUCCUCCGUCUGUCCUCCGUCUGUCCUCUGUCUGUCCUCCGUCUGUCCUCUGUCUGUCCUCUGUCUGUCCUCCGUCUGUCCUCCGUCUGUCCUCUGUCUGUCCUCUGUCUGUCCCCUGUCUCUCUGCCUGUCUGUCCGUCUGUCUGUCCGUCUGUCUGUCCUCCGUCUGUCCUCCGUCUGUCUGUCUGUCCUCCGUCUGUCCUCCGGUCUGUCCUCUGUCUGUCCUCUGUCUGUCCUCCGUCUGUCUGUCUGUCCUCCGUCUGUCCUCCGUCUGUCCUCUGUCUGUCCUCCGUCUGUCUGUCUGUCUGUCCUCCGUCUGUCCUCUGUCUGUCCUCCGUCUGUCUGUCUGUCCUCCGUCUGUCCUCCGUCUGUCCUCUGUCUGUCCUCCGUCUGUCCUCCGUCUGUCCUCUGUCUGUCCUCUGUCUGUCCUCCGUCUGUCUGUCUGUCCUCCGUCUGUCCUCCGUCUGUCCUCUGUCUGUCCUCCGUCUGUCCUCUGUCUGUCCUCUGUCUGUCCUCCGUCUGUCCUCCGUCUGUCCUCUGUCUGUCCUCUGUCUGUCCCCUGUCUCUCUGCCUGUCUGUCCGUCUGUCUGUCCGUCUGUCUGUCCUCUGUCUAUCCUCUGUCUGUCUGUCUCUCUGCCUGUCUGUCUCUCUGUCUGUCCUCUGUCUCUCUAUCUGUCCUCUGUCUGUCUCUCUGUCUGUCUCUCUGUCUGUCCCCUGUCUGUCCUCUGUCUCUCUGUCUGUCCUCUGUCUCUCUGUCUGUCCUCUGUCUGUCCUCUGUCUGUCCUCUGUCUGUCUCUCUGUCUGUCCCCUGUCUGUCCUCUGUCUCUCUGUCUGUCCUCUGUCUGUCUCUCUGUCUGUCUCUCUGUCUGUCCCCUGUCUGUCCUCUGUCUCUCUGUCUGUCCUCUGUCUCUCUGUCUGUCCUCUGUCUGUCCUCUGUCUGUCCUCUGUCUGUCCCCUGUCUCUCUGUCUGUCCCCUGUCUGUCCUCUGUCUGUCUCUCUGUCUGUCCUCUGUCUGUCCCCUGUCUCUCUGUCUGUCCUCUGUCUGUCCUCUGUCUCUCUGUCUGUCCUCUGUCUGUCUCUCUGUCUGUCCUCUGUCUGUCCCCUGUCUCUCUGUCUGUCCUCUGUCUGUCCCCUGUCUCUCUGUCUGUCCUCUGUCUGUCCUCUGUCUCUCUGUCUGUCCUCUGUCUGUCUCUCUGUCUGUCCUCUGUCUGUCCCCUGUCUCUCUGUCUGUCCUCUGUCUGUCCCCUGUCUCUCUGUCUGUCCUCUGUCUGUCCCCUGUCUCUCUGUCUGUCUCUUUAUUUUCUCUCGGUCAUAUUAAACUGUUUGUAUUGUGGCACAGAUCUAAAAACAAAAUCAAAAACACCCAGAAUUCCCUCUCCCUCUCCCACAAUCCCCCACUAAUGAUGUCCGCCGGCCACAAGAUGAGGCCUGACGCCAGAGGAGAGAGAGCGAGUGUGUGUGUGUGUGUGUGUGUGUGUGUGUGUGUGUGUGUGUGUGUGUGUGUGUGUGUGUGUGUGUGUGAUAAUGAGAGACUUGAUUUCUGCUUGUUAACUGAGAAUGCAGUGAGAGUGUUGUGGUGUAACCUCACAUGUGGUUGUUGAGUUUCAAAUAUCUCUAAUUCAAUCUGCU